This is a non-coding RNA of Paramuricea clavata, 1376 nucleotides long. The record is from the annotation of a GenBank genome assembly. NCBI's taxonomy places the organism in Eukaryota, Metazoa, Cnidaria, Anthozoa, Malacalcyonacea, Plexauridae.
AUAGCCUAUUUUAUUGCCAUGCUGCAAACAUACAACGAACAUAGCACAAUAAUUUUACAAUAUGUUCUGAUUUCUUUCAAUUUAAGUUCACACGCUAGUUUUAUAGAACUGUUCAUAUUGUUCUGCAAUCUUGCAAUGUUCAUAUUACUAACUUUUAUCUGUACAUUUAAAGAUUAUACAAAUUAUAUUCAUUCAAAUUUCAAAUAUGUACACAGUAGUCAAUACGUAUAUAUCAUACAUAUACAAUUAUACGUCUAUUUGGAUGCAGGAUUCGUACACCUAUCUAAUUUUAAAAAUUCAGGACUUUCAAGUGGUAUUUUCUCGUAUUCCCGGAGUUUUUUCAGGGCUAUUAUUUAGAAAACUGAAAAACAGCAAUUUUAGCAAUAAGUCGAAACGAUUGAUAUGCUAUGCUAUAUGCUAUGCGCAAGAGAGUAUUUAUAAUCAAUAGAUCUUACAAACGGAACAUUUAACAGUUUGAUUAAGCCAGUUUUCCACGUCAAGCGUACCGUACCGAAGCGUAUCAAAAACAUUUUUAAAUUUCAAAAUUUAUUGAAUGUUGAUUGGUUAAUACUUCCGUAGUACGCCAGAAAGUUGACUUGCGACGAACUUUUCAUUUUGAUACGCGAAUACCCCGGAAGUACGUGGAUCUGCGCAUGCUCACCAGUACGUUUCGGUACGGUUAAAGUGGAAAACUGGCUUACAGUGCGUCUACAGGAAGUGGGGCCACUUAGAGAACACUAACCAAUCGCAUUGCAGAACAAAAAGAAAAAUCUAAUCAAACUAAAAAAGCUCGUCCAAUCAAAAGAAAGAUUCAGGAAGCCAUUAACUACAGUGUUUACUUUUACCGUUUGACAUUCGUUUAUUUGUUCAAAUUGUUUUUGGCCUAUUGGUGAUUGGCUAAUGCGCCGUUUGUUGAUUUUUUCUAUUUUUGUUCUGCAAUGUGAUUGGUUAGUGUUCUCUAAGUGGCCCCACUUACUGUAGACGCACUGUAACUGUACUCACAACUACAAGUUUGAUUUUCCAGACAGUUUUUCAGCGGUCACCUUGAAGUUCCAGGACUAAAAUGAAAUUCCUGGGUUUUCCGGAAUUUCCAGGAAGUGUACGAAUCCGGCUGAUAGGACACUAGUCCAUCACAGGAUGCUUGUUUUGCGAAAACCAUGAAAAACGGAAAAUGAAAAACCUUAAAAGAGGUAAAGUUCUCAUUGAACUGCUCCCUGUAAGGCUGCAGUGUUCAGAUAUGUUUGUUGGGCACUUCUGUAGUCUCGUAAGUACUCACUGCUUUUCAAUUUGACUUCCGAUGGUGGGAACGUGCGAUGGACUAGUGACCUAUUGAACUGGUGCAGUUGACUCAAAUUCACUACAGGCUAUAAACAAAG